RNAcentral lists this long non-coding RNA (280 nucleotides) under Malus domestica (apple). RNAcentral's name for it is "long non-coding RNA (MDOM_LNC004319)". Lineage: Eukaryota; Viridiplantae; Streptophyta; Magnoliopsida; Rosales; Rosaceae. The record is from RNAcentral.
UGUUCUUGUCUUAAUUUAAUUAUUUUCGUCCAAAAUCAACCCCAUCUUAUUUCUUUGAGUCAUAUUAAUUAAAACUUGUCUUAGAUUAUGUUUUUAAGUGUUUUAGUUCAUUAGAAAACCAAAAUUCGUCCAAGUUUGUAUUAGAGUCCCAAAACUGCCCAGAUUGUAUGUUUAAGGUAGUUUUGAGUGUUUAGGGGCUGUUUUAAGUCUUUUGGUUUGUUUUAGUGUUUUAAAGUAUAGUUUUGCAUUCUUUGAGUCUAGUUAGUGUUUUAAACUUUGU